CAGCCGCCACGGUAAUACGUAGGUCCCGAGCGUUGUCCGGAUUUAUUGGGCGUAAAGGGAGCGCAGGCGGUUUAGUAAGUCUGAAGUUAAAGGCAUUGGCUCACCCAAUGUAUGCUUUGGAAACUGUUAGACUUGAGUGCAGAAGGGGAGAGUGGAAUUCCAUGUGUAGCGGUGAAAUGCGUAGAUAUAUGGAGGAACACCGGUGGCGAAAGCGGCUCUCUGGUCUGUCACUGACGCUGAGGCUCGAAAGCGUGGGUAGCGAACAGGAUUAGAUACCCGUGUAGUCCCUGUCUCUUAUACA
Molecule: ribosomal RNA, 301 nt
Filed under: uncultured bacterium
Lineage: Bacteria
Description: partial 16S ribosomal RNA
Rfam family: Bacterial small subunit ribosomal RNA
Source: RNAcentral